AUGGUUGUCGUCAGCUCGUGUCGUGAGAUGUUGGGUUAAGUCCCGCAACGAGCGCAACCCUUUAUCGUUAGUUGCUACCAUUAAGUUGAGCACUCUAGCGAGACUGCCCGGGUUAACCGGGAGGAAGGUGGGGAUGACGUCAAAUCAUCAUGCCCCUUAUGUCUAGGGCUACACACGUGCUACAAUGGUGAGGACAAAGAGACGCAAGACCGCGAGGUGGAGCAAAUCUCACAAACCUCAUCCCAGUUCGGAUUGCAGGCUGAAACUCGCCUGCAUGAAGCCGGAGUUGCUAGUAAUCGCGAAUCAGCAUGUCGCGGUGAAUACGUUCCCGGGCCUU
RNAcentral lists this ribosomal RNA (337 nucleotides) under uncultured Clostridium sp. Its description in RNAcentral is "bacterial SSU rRNA". It matches the Rfam family "Bacterial small subunit ribosomal RNA", at positions 1045 to 1382 of the family's 1533-position model. The record is from RNAcentral. Lineage: Bacteria; Bacillati; Bacillota; Clostridia; Eubacteriales; Clostridiaceae.